AUGGAGGUCGCCGACGUGGUCCGUUCGGGAGCCGUCUGCUCUGCCUGGCGCUCCGCCUGCGCCACGUUCCGCCGCCUCCGCCUCCCCACGCCGAACCAGCCGCCCUGCCUGCUCUACGCCGCCGGGGACGCCGACGCUGCCGUGCUCUACUCCUUGUCCACCAACGCCACCUUCCGCCUACCGCCGCUCCACAGCGUCAUCGGCUCGGCGCACGGGUUGGUGUUCACCACCGACGAGGCGGCCAACCCUUACCUCCUCAACCCCGUGACCGGCGCCCGGGCCGCGCUUCCGCCGAUCACGGCCCUCGAGCGCGUCAAGAGCAGCUUCCUGGACGGCGAGGGGAACACUGUGUACGACGUCGACCACGCGUGGGGAGGCGAGCCCGACAACAUGCAGCACGUGACGGCGCACAAGGCGAGAGGCUGGAUAUGGGUCUACCCUGGCUUCCCCACUGUCGUUCAAGACGACAAGAAAAGUGGCUUGUUUUACGUGCUACGCUCCGCCGGCAGCCUGCACGCUUUGGAUCUGAGUGGUCCGUCCCCGGUGACGUGGCGCGUGGCGACCACGAUGGGAAAUCUCGUCCCUAUGCACAGCCCCUAUCUCAUCCCCACGCCGUGCGGCCGCAGCGUCUUGCUGGUGACGAGAAGCUUGUUCAGGUCCGUGGAGUUUCCGGAGGACGGGAAAGAGAAGAGCUCAGACGGGCGUGACAGACGUCGCAUCAACGCCAUCACCACCGGCAUCUCGAUCGAUACGAUUGGUUUCAACGGGAGAAGGCUAGAGAGGCCGAAAGGCGUGGUGGACAGUGCUAUGUUCCUUGGGCGCAACUCGCCCAUAUGGCUUCCCGUCGCGCGUUACCCCAUGCUGAAGCGGAACUGCGCCUAUCUGGUCGACGACUGUCAGCAGACCAGUCUUCCCAUCGCGCGGAGGGACCAUGGCAUUUGGGACUUCGACAGCGAAAGCCUACACAAGCCUACCGCCGUGUGGCCUCACCGUAAAGUUGUCGUCCUCGUCCUCCUUCUCCUCCUCCAUGCGAUGAGCGCCAAGCACGCGAGCUUCCACCGCUCCUUCUCGUUAGUGGUUGCAGAGCCGAAGCGUUCAGCGAGGCGCUCCUCUUCGCAGAGGGCGGCGUCUACUUCGAGGGCGGAGAGCUUUCAGCAUGAGCCCGACUGGGUCCUCGGGCUCGAGAUGGGCCUCAUCAAGGACGAAUGGGAUGAUGGGACCAAUGUGGGUUGCGACAACAUUGAUGGGGACGGUGGCACCCUUGGCGCCAGAUUCACCACGACCGUUGCGACGGGAGCCGCCAGAUCCCUACACCCAUCAUUAGUGAGGCGUGGGAGCCGCAACAAGAGGAGGAUCUGGUGA
This 1362-nucleotide ribosomal RNA is filed under the name Triticum aestivum (bread wheat). RNAcentral's name for it is "partial small subunit ribosomal RNA". Lineage: Eukaryota; Viridiplantae; Streptophyta; Magnoliopsida; Poales; Poaceae. The record is from RNAcentral.